CCUACGGGCGGCAGCAGUAGGGAAUAUUGCUCAAUGGGGGAAACCCUGAAGCAGCAACGCCGCGUGGAGGAUGAAGGUUUUCGGAUUGUACACUUCUUUUGUUAGAGAAGAUAAUGACGGUAUCUAACGAAUAAGCACCGGCUAACUCCGUGCCAGCACCCGCGGGAAUACGGAGGGUGCAAGCGUUUCUCGGAAUCACUGGGCGUAAAGAGCGCGUAGGCGGGAUAGCAAGUCAGAUGUGAAAUCCUAUGGCUUAACCAUAGAACUGCAGUUGAAACUGUUAGUGUAGAGUAUGGGUGAGGUAGGUGGAAUUCUUGGUGUAGAGGUAAAAUCCGUAGAGAUCAAGAGGAAUACUCAUUGCGAAGGCGACCUGCUAGAACAUAACUGACGCUGAUGCGCGAAAGCGUGGGGAGCAAACAGGAUUAGAUACCCGUGUAGUC
RNAcentral lists this ribosomal RNA (440 nucleotides) under uncultured bacterium. RNAcentral's name for it is "partial 16S ribosomal RNA". It matches the Rfam family "Bacterial small subunit ribosomal RNA", at positions 338 to 795 of the family's 1533-position model. The record is from RNAcentral.